RNAcentral lists this ribosomal RNA (465 nucleotides) under uncultured bacterium. RNAcentral's name for it is "partial 16S ribosomal RNA". It matches the Rfam family "Bacterial small subunit ribosomal RNA", at positions 338 to 795 of the family's 1533-position model. The record is from RNAcentral.
CCUACGGGAGGCUGCAGUGGGGAAUAUUGCGCAAUGGGCGAAAGCCUGACGCAGCGACGCCGCGUGAGGGAUGAAGGUCUUCUGAUCGUAAACCUCUGUCAGCAGGGAAGAACGGUCCCUGUGCUAAUCAGCAGUGAAUUUACCGUACCUGCAAAGGAAGCACCGGCUCACUCCGUGCCAGCAGCCGCGGUAAUACGGAGGGUGCGAGCGUUAAUCGGAAUUACUGGGCGUAAAGCUCUCGUAGGCGGUAGGUCAAGUCAAGGGUGAAAUCCCCGCGCUCAACGUGGAAACUGCCGUUGACACUGGGAAACUGGAGUGUGUGAGAGGAUAGUGGAAUUCCAGGUGUAGGAGUGAAAUGCGUAGAUAUCUGGAGGAACAUCAGUGGCGAAGGCGACUAGCUGGAACAUAACUGACGCUGAGGAGCGAAAGCGUGGGUAGCAAACAGGAUUAGAUACCCCAGUAGUC